GUCGCGUCCCGGGACCGGACGACAGGAGGCAUGUUCUGCGCUAGCACCGUGACUUUGUUCCCAGCGUGGGGACUGUGGGAGAGAUGGAGAGAGACUGGUACAGAAAUGGUGAGACAAGGAGAGAGCCAUAAAGAGGAAGACAGAGAGAAAGAAGACAAAUGCAUAAAGAGGUUCAGAGACGUGUGACUGUGGAGAUCGAAGGCCUGGUUUUAGGGCUAGCGAACACCUUCUCCCUUUGGUUUUGGUCCACAGAAGACUGGUGAUACAGAGCAUCCUCGCCAGGAGAGGCAGAGUCCAUGGAGCAGCCGAGACAGCUGUGGAAGAGAAGGUGCCAUGCGGAGCUACUGAGAGAGAGGGAAGGGCACCCCAUCACUACACACAGCAAAAAAUGACCUUCUGCCAAAGAAGCUGAUGGUUCAGGAAGAAAAUAGAGCUGACUAUCCCUGAAGGAAAAGGAAACGUGGUACUGUUUUGCUUUAUCACAAAUACAAACAAAAGGUUUAAAGAUGGAAAGAAAAGAACAGAAAGGAAAAAGAGUGAAAAGCCAGGAAAAGCACCUAGGAGGAAUAGCCCUCUGCUGCCAUACU
Molecule: long non-coding RNA, 587 nt
Filed under: Homo sapiens (human)
Lineage: Eukaryota; Metazoa; Chordata; Mammalia; Primates; Hominidae
Description: non-protein coding lnc-PSMB11-1:12
Source: RNAcentral